CUGAGUUGGACUGCGCCAGGAGAAAGAAAACAGUCUGACAGCAUCAACACAGCGUGCGGUUAUUCCAGCAGAUAAACAUCAAUGGCUUUUAUCUUAGCUGUAUCACCAUCCUCUGUCAAAAUGACUCUACCUAAACAAACUGCGGUAAACACAGUCUGAUCUCCAGGGUCCAGUGUCCUGUGUGUGAGCGCUGUGUGUCUUGUUGGAGAUCCCUACACUGAGCUACAUUGCGCAGAUUCCACCUGCAUGAUGACAGCGACCAGCAACCGCAGAGUGGGAGAGAGUAGAGCCCACACCGUCACGUCAGCGACAAUGACAUCAAACAAGGUCCGGUCAGGACUUCCAAAAUAAAAUAGGUUUAAAGGAAGACGUUGGUUCUGAGGAAUAGACUACCAAAAUAAAAGUAUCAACAACUUCUUUGUGUGAAUCUAACGUCUGUCAUGAAUCGAAGACGUUUAAUGAAGAAUUCAACAGUAGAUAAGCCCAUACCGCCCAUAGAAACACAUAACUGAGAAGUUAAAUAUCCUGUACAGGCUGGAUUACCCAUAAAGCAAAACAGAUAACUGCACAGGGGUCCCAGACAGUCAGGACCCCUCAGAAGCCCCAGGUUUACUCUGUUUCUGGUUACAUAAUCUAUUUUUAGGCUUGGAUAUUGAAGAGGGUCUUGAAGAGUUUUAUUGUGCUCUUCUGUUGUAAAGUCUUGUUUUAUCAAAUUGCUUUAAUUUUUCUGUGUGUUGAGUAGAUGUUGGGCAAGGUAGGUAUAAAACAUAUUUCAUUUUGUAUGAAAAUCGCAGAUUUUGAGUUUAAUUAUCCUAGAAAACCAAGAGACUUGCAAAUAUUCAUAUUUGUUAAGUUGGUAGUGGAAAUUUGCUGCCAUGUCAUCUGAGGUGCCUGAAGAAAUAAUUAAACUGCCUUGUAUAAUGUGGCUCAAUAGAA
Long non-coding RNA from Seriola aureovittata, 936 nucleotides. RefSeq lists it as uncharacterized. The transcript is spliced from 2 exons. NCBI's taxonomy places the organism in Eukaryota, Metazoa, Chordata, Actinopteri, Carangiformes, Carangidae. The record is from RefSeq and is a predicted model, not a curated record.